UGUUGUUAAGUGUUGGUCGGAUUGUGAAGCCAGAAAUGGUGAUUAAUUUGAAAAAGGCUUUUCUUCGCCAAAACAAAUUACUGAAUCACUGUGCCAUUCAAUAACAGCUGCUGUGAAAAAUGAUUGGUCUCCUUAGCCAAGUGAUCUCCCCUUUCCGUCAAACAAUUGGGGGUGUGGAGGUAGAGAUGGUGAAUCCAGCCUCAACCCUGUUUGUGUCAUUGUGAUGUUCCUCUCUAAAUUGCGGCGCCUUCUGUUCUCCAACUUGGUACAAUAUAGGAGGUGGAUCACUGUUGCCCAAGCAACACAAGAAGAACAGAUAAAACAAAUAAAUUGCACCCAUGCCUGAAGUAGGAUUCGAACCAGUGAUCUUCAUGGAACGCUGCCAACUCUUUGACUACCAUACAGAUGGACGACUUGUUCCGUCACUCUAUUUUCGAUCUUCUAGUUUUUAUUCUAGUUUCGUCAUUCAAGUUUACAAUCUCCCUUAAUGCAUUAGGAUGAGGUUUCGAUUUGAGAAAAUAUUUUUGUCAUUGGCGUUUUGCCACAAACCAAGUGAUAAUUCUCCAAAUUAAUGAAAUACAGCUCAAUGAUUACUGGAUCUAUGGAAGUGAAAUUUUUAUUUCUGAGAGUAAAUACAGGAGAGAAAUUUCUUCGAAUUUCAAUAAACGCAAGUUUUUAUAUAUAAAAGAAAGAAAAAAAGCAAGAUGUGUAUU
Parasteatoda tepidariorum (common house spider) is the source of this 713-nucleotide non-coding RNA. The record is from RefSeq and is a predicted model, not a curated record. NCBI's taxonomy places the organism in Eukaryota, Metazoa, Arthropoda, Arachnida, Araneae, Theridiidae.